This 700-nucleotide ribosomal RNA is filed under the name uncultured bacterium. Its description in RNAcentral is "bacterial SSU rRNA". It matches the Rfam family "Bacterial small subunit ribosomal RNA", at positions 94 to 828 of the family's 1533-position model. The record is from RNAcentral.
AGUGGCGGACGGGUGAGUAACGCGUAAGAAUCUAACUUCAGGACGGGGACAACAGUGGGAAACGACUGCUAAUACCCGAUGUGCCGCAAGGUGAAACCUAAUUGGCCUGGAGAAGAGCUUGCGUCUGAUUAGCUAGUUGGUGGGGUACAGGCCUACCAAGGCGACGAUCAGUAGCUGGUCUGAGAGGAUGAGCAGCCACACUGGGACUGAGACACGGCCCAGACUCCUACGGGAGGCAGCAGUGGGGAAUUUUCCGCAAUGGGCGAAAGCCUGACGGAGCAACGCCGCGUGAGGGAGGAAGGUCUUUGGAUUGUAAACCUCUUUUCUCAAGGAAGAAGUUCUGACGGUACUUGAGGAAUCAGCCUCGGCUAACUCCGUGCCAGCAGCCGCGGUAAUACGGGGGAGGCAAGCGUUAUCCGGAAUUAUUGGGCGUAAAGCGUCCGCAGGUGGUCAGCCAAGUCUGCCGUCAAAUCAGGUUGCUUAACGACCUAAAGGCGGUGGAAACUGGCAGACUAGAGAGCAGUAGGGGUAGCAGGAAUUCCCAGUGUAGCGGUGAAAUGCGUAGAGAUUGGGAAGAACAUCGGUGGCGAAAGCGUGCUACUGGGCUGUAUCUGACACUCAGGGACGAAAGCUAGGGGAGCGAAAGGGAUUAGAUACCCCUGUAGUCCUAGCCGUAAACGAUGGAUACUAGGCGUGGCUU